CCAAUCAGAUUCCACCCUUCAUUUUCCAAAGGAGCUGUCAAAAAUGACAGGUGGAAGCUGAUUGGUUGCUAUGGGCGACAAAGCCAGUUCUACUUUACACCAGUUUGAUAGAUGACCCCAUACAUUUCUAUUUUUGUACCUCACCUGCCCCCGUGAUACACAUUGCACAGAUAGCACUUUCUGUAAAUGUAACAUCCCAUAAGCUAUGAGAACUGAAUAGCGGUCAUGUCUGCCACGUUUGGAUCCAGCAGGGAAGAAAGGUAUAGAAGCAGGCGGACAUGUUGCAGUUUAUAGUGAAGGUCCUUAUAAUCGUAUCUUCUGUGGAUUCGGCUGCGGGGAAGGGAAUCUCUUACCUUGCCUGCCUGAGGAUGAUUUUGUGCUCGUGUCUGUGUUUCAGUAUACUUGACGUCCCAAUGUCACGGACCAGUGCGACACAGUACCAGGUAGCAUGACUGGGAGGCGGUUGGAUAAUCUUAAAAGGGUUUGUCCAGUUUUAAACGUAUAUAUCCGGUCCUCAAGGUUAGGGGCUAAGAGAAUGAUCGGUGGUGGUCCAACUUCUCCCAAAGCUGGGGUCCUGUGCCACCCAUGUGCGCUGCUGCUCUAUUUAUCUCUGGGACGGUGGAGGAGAAGCGGAGUACACAGUAUGGCAGACACCAGCAGUGCCAUAGAGAUGAAUGCAGCAGCAUUGCACAGGACCCCCUGAUCGGUUGGUUGGACCCCCACCAAUCAGACUCGUAUCCACAAAACUUGGCAAACCCCUUUAAUGCUGGAAGACACCAUGUACAUGAGCAUAUCGAUAUUUGUAUUAGCGAUUGCCAAUACGGUCGCUGCAAGUGAUCUAAUAGCAGUUACAGACCCUGUUGAGCCGCAUGUAUAAUGUG
Long non-coding RNA from Bufo bufo (common toad), 881 nucleotides. RefSeq lists it as uncharacterized. The transcript is spliced from 3 exons. The record is from RefSeq and is a predicted model, not a curated record. NCBI's taxonomy places the organism in Eukaryota, Metazoa, Chordata, Amphibia, Anura, Bufonidae.